RNAcentral lists this transfer RNA (72 nucleotides) under Camelus bactrianus (Bactrian camel). It matches the Rfam family "tRNA". From Rfam's summary of the family: Transfer RNA (tRNA) molecules are approximately 80 nucleotides in length. Their secondary structure includes four short double-helical elements and three loops (D, anti-codon, and T loops). Further hydrogen bonds mediate the characteristic L-shaped molecular structure. tRNAs have two regions of fundamental functional importance: the anti-codon, which is responsible for specific mRNA codon recognition, and the 3' end, to which the tRNAs corresponding amino acid is attached (by aminoacyl-tRNA synthetases). tRNAs cope with the degeneracy of the genetic code in two manners: having more than one tRNA (with a specific anti-codon) for a particular amino acid; and 'wobble' base-pairing, i.e. permitting non-standard base-pairing at the 3rd anti-codon position. The record is from Rfam by way of RNAcentral. Lineage: Eukaryota; Metazoa; Chordata; Mammalia; Artiodactyla; Camelidae. RNAcentral also lists the same sequence under 2 other names.
GAGGGUAUAGCUCAGUAGUCGAGCACAUGCUUAGUAUGCACAAGGUCCUGGGUUCUAUCCCCAGUACCUCCA